GAUGAACGCUGGCGGCGUGCCUAAUACAUGCAAGUCGAGCGAACGGACGAGAAGCUUGCUUCUCUGAUGUUAGCGGCGGACGGGUGAGUAACACGUGGAUAACCUACCUAUAAGACUGGGAUAACUUCGGGAAACCGGAGCUAAUACCGGAUAAUAUUUUGAACCGCAUGGUUCAAAAGUGAAAGACGGUCUUGCUUUCACUUAUAGAUGGAUCCGCGCUGCAUUAGCUAGUUGGUAAGGUAACGGCUUACCAAGGCAACGAUGCAUAGCCGACCUGAGAGGGUGAACGGCCACACUGGAACUGAGACACGGUCCAGACUCCUACGGGAGGCAGAAGUAGGGAAUCUUCCGCAAUGGGCGAAAGCCUGACGGAGCAACGACGCGUGAGUGAUGAAGGUCUUCGGAUCGUAAAACUCUGUUAUUAGGGAAGAACAUAUGUGUAAGUAACUGUGCACAUCUUGACGGUACCUAAUCAGAAAGCCACGGCUAACUACGUG
Molecule: ribosomal RNA, 497 nt
Filed under: uncultured bacterium
Lineage: Bacteria
Description: partial 16S ribosomal RNA
Rfam family: Bacterial small subunit ribosomal RNA
Source: RNAcentral